AGAGUUUGAUCAUGGCUCAGAAUCAACGCUGGCGGCGCGCUUAACACAUGCAAGUCGCACGAGAAAGUGGAGCAAUCCAUGAGUACAGUGGCGUACGGGUGAGUAACACGUGGAUCAUCUACCUUUUAGUGGGGAAUACCUCCUGGAAACGGGAGACAAUACCGCAUAAUCUCGCGAGAGGAAAGCAGCAAUGCGCUGAAAGAGGAGUCCGCGGCCGAUUAGCUAGUUGGCGGGGUAACGGCCCACCAAGGCGAAGAUCGGUAGCCGGCCUGAGAGGGCUCACGGCCACACUGGCACUGAAACACGGGCCAGACUCCUACGGGAGGCAGCAGUGGGGAAUCUUGCACAAUGGAGGAAACUCUGAUGCAGCGACGCCGCGUGAGCGAUGAAGCCCUUCGGGGUGUAAAGCUCUUUCGACGGGAACGAUAAUGACGGUACCCGAAGAAGAAGCUGCGGCUAACUACGUGCCAGCAGCCGCGGUAAUACGUAGGCAGCAAGCGUUGUUCGGAAUUACUGGGCGUAAAGAGUGUGUAGGCGGUGCUCUAAGUCUGUCGUGAAAUCUCCCGGCUUAACUGGGAGGGUGCGGCGGAAACUGGAGUGCUCGAGGGUGGGAGAGGAAAGCGGAAUUCCUGGUGUAGCGGUGAAAUGCGUAGAUAUCAGGAGGAACACCUGCGGUGUAGACAGCUUUCUGGACCACUUCUGACGCUGAGACACGAAAGCGUGGGUAGCAAACAGGAUUAGAUACCCUAGUAGUCC
RNAcentral lists this ribosomal RNA (756 nucleotides) under uncultured bacterium. RNAcentral describes it as "bacterial SSU rRNA". It matches the Rfam family "Bacterial small subunit ribosomal RNA", at positions 8 to 796 of the family's 1533-position model. The record is from RNAcentral.